Molecule: ribosomal RNA, 468 nt
Filed under: uncultured bacterium
Lineage: Bacteria
Description: partial 16S ribosomal RNA
Rfam family: Bacterial small subunit ribosomal RNA
Source: RNAcentral
GACGAACGCUGGCGGCGUGCUUAACACAUGCAAGUCGAACGGAAAGGCCCUGCUUUUGUGGGGUGCUCGAGUGGCGAACGGGUGAGUAACACGUGAGUAACCUGCCCUUGACUUUGGGAUAACUUCAGGAAACUGGGGCUCAUACCGGAUAGGAGCUCCUGCUGCAUGUUGGGGGUUGGAAAGUUUCGGCGGUUGGGGAUGGACUCGCGGCUUAUCAGCUUGUUGGUGGGGUAGUGGCUUACCAAGGCUUUGACGGGUAGCCGGCCUGAGAGGGUUACCGGCGACAUGGGGACUGAGAGACGGCCCAGACUCCUACGGGAGGCAGCAGUGGGGAAUAUUGCACAAUGGGCGGAAGCCUGAUGCAGCAACGCCGCGUGCGGGAUGACGGCCUUCGGGUUGUAAACCGCUUUGGCAUGUGACGAAGCGUGAGUGACGGUAAUGGGUAAAGAAGCACCGGCUAACUACGUG